UGACAAUGAUGAACGCUUUAUCCCGAAACUGACCAUUUAUUGAUGAUAAAAAACCUUUACGGAUCUGAUUGCUGAGUC
Small nucleolar RNA from Mugil cephalus (flathead mullet), 78 nucleotides. RefSeq annotates it as small nucleolar RNA SNORD50. The record is from RefSeq and is a predicted model, not a curated record. The transcript has a single exon. NCBI's taxonomy places the organism in Eukaryota, Metazoa, Chordata, Actinopteri, Mugiliformes, Mugilidae.